UGGAUUGGCAGCGUGAGUGA
Molecule: unclassified non-coding RNA, 20 nt
Filed under: Chlamydomonas reinhardtii
Lineage: Eukaryota; Viridiplantae; Chlorophyta; Chlorophyceae; Chlamydomonadales; Chlamydomonadaceae
Description: small RNA Cre_3285
Source: RNAcentral